CGUGAGGUCUCCGUGGCGGCCCAACCCCGGCGGAAGGCGACGGCGCCUCUUGCUGGACGGAGGGAAUUCCUACGACCAGAGCUCUCGCUGCAGGAGGAAGACCCAAUAAGGAAAUCAACUCUUAAAUCUUUUCCUGACUGAGAACACUAUCGCACAGCAUGGCUGCAAGUAAACAAAAGGUGGUGCAGUGGUAAAGAAUCUGCCUGCCAAUGCAGGGGACAUGGGUUCGAGCCCUGCCCUGGGAAGAUUCCACAUGCCACGGAGCAACUAAGCCUGUGCGCCACAACUAUUGAGCCUGCGCUCUAGAGCCCGUGAGCCACAACUACUGAGCCCAUCUGCCGCAAAUGUUGAGGCCCACGCGCGUAGGGCCCGUGCUCCACAACAAGAGAAUCCACUACAAUGAGGAGCCUCCACACCUCAAUGAAGAGUGGCCCCCGCCUGCAGCAACUAGAGGGAGCCCGUGUGCAGCAACAAAGACCCAACACAGCCAAUAAAUAAAUAAACAAAUAAAUGUAUUAAAAAAAUAAAUAAAAUAAAAUUAACAUC
This is a long non-coding RNA of Hippopotamus amphibius kiboko, 546 nucleotides long. RefSeq lists it as uncharacterized. The transcript is spliced from 3 exons. NCBI's taxonomy places the organism in Eukaryota, Metazoa, Chordata, Mammalia, Artiodactyla, Hippopotamidae. The record is from RefSeq and is a predicted model, not a curated record.